AACAAACAGGUCACUGACUAUCUCGAAUCCCACCGUACCUUCUCCGCUGUGCAAUCGGGUUUCCGAGCCGGUCACGGGUGCACCUCAGCCACACUCAAGGUACUAAACGAUAUCAUAACCGCCAUCGAUAAAAGACAGUACUGUGCAGCCGUCUUCAUCGACCUUGACAAGGCUUUCGACUCUGUCAAUCACCAUAUUCUUAUCGGCAGACUCAACAGCCUCGGUUUUUCGGAUGACUGCCUUGCCUGGUUCACCAAUUACUUUGCAGACAGAGUUCAGUGUGUCAAAUCGGAGGGCAUGCUGUCCGGUCCUCUGGCAGUCUCUGUGGGGGUGCCACAGGGUUCAAUCCUCGGGCCGACUCUUUUCUCUGUAUAUAUCAAUGAUGUUGCUCUUGCUGCGGGCGAUUCCCUGAUCCACCUCUACGCAGACGACACCAUUCUAUAUACUUCCGGCCCGUCCUUGGACACUGUGCUAUCUAACCUCCAAACGAGCUUCAAUGCCAUACAACACUCCUUCCGUGGCCUCCAACUGCUCUUAAAUGCUAGUAAAACCAAAUGCAUGCUUUUCAACCGUUCGCUGCCUGCACCCGCACGCCCGACCAGCAUCACCACCCUGGAUUGUUCCGACCUUGAAUAUGUGGACAUCUAUAAGUACCUAGGUGUCUGGCUAGACUGUAAACUCUCCUUCCAGACUCAUAUCAAACAUCUCCAAUCGAAAAUCAAAUCAAGAAUCGGCUUUCUAUUCCGCAACAAAGCCUCCUUCACUCACGACGCCAAACUUACCCUAGUAAAACUGACUAUCCUACCGAUCCUCGACUUCGGCGAUGUCAUCUACAAAAUUGCUUCCAACACUCUACUCAGCAAACUGGAUGCAGUUUAUCACAGUGCCAUCCGUUUUGUCACUAAAGCACCUUAUACCACCCACCACUGUGACUUGUAUGCUCUAGUCGGCUGGCCCUCGCUACAUAUUCGUCGCCAGACCCACUGGCUCCAGGUCAUCUACAAGUCCAUGCUAGGUAAAGCUCCGCCUUAUCUCAGUUCACUGGUCACGAUGGCAACACCCAUCCGUAGCACGCGCUCCAGCAAAGAAAACAUCUCAUUUGGCCGCCUUUCGUUCCAGUUCUCUGCUGCCUGUGACUGGAACGAAUUGCAAAAAUCGCUGAAGUUGGAGACUUUUAUCUCCCUCACCAACUUCAAAAAUCUGCUAUCUGAGCAGUUAACCGAUCGCUGCAGCUGUACAUAGUCUAUCGGUAAAUAGCCCACCCAUUUUUACCUACCUCAUCC
This 1283-nucleotide long non-coding RNA is filed under the name Oncorhynchus kisutch (coho salmon). RNAcentral's name for it is "lncRNA (ENSOKIG00005004646.1)". Lineage: Eukaryota; Metazoa; Chordata; Actinopteri; Salmoniformes; Salmonidae. The record is from RNAcentral.